RNAcentral lists this ribosomal RNA (392 nucleotides) under uncultured bacterium. Its description in RNAcentral is "partial 16S ribosomal RNA". It matches the Rfam family "Bacterial small subunit ribosomal RNA", at positions 523 to 918 of the family's 1533-position model. The record is from RNAcentral.
AUACGGAGGAUCCGAGCGUUAUCCGGAUUUAUUGGGUUUAAAGGGUGCGCAGGCGGCCAUUUAAGUCAGCGGUUAAAUCGUGGGGCUCAACCCCAUUCUGCCGUUGAUACUGGGUGGCUUGAUUGCGGUCGAGGUUGGCGGAAUUCGUUGCGUAGCGGUGAAAUGCAUAGAUAUGACGAAGAACACCGAUUGCGUAGGCAGCUGACCAGACCGCAAAUGACGCUCAUGCACGAAAGUGCGGGGAUCGAACAGGAUUAGAUACCCUGGUAGUCCGCACAGUAAACGAUGAAUACUUGUUUUCGGCGAUAUAAUGUCGGAGGCAAAGCGAAAGCGAUAAGUAUUCCACCUGGGGAGUACGCCGGCAACGGUGAAACUCAAAGGAAUUGACGGGG